RNAcentral lists this long non-coding RNA (628 nucleotides) under Homo sapiens (human). RNAcentral's name for it is "novel transcript". Lineage: Eukaryota; Metazoa; Chordata; Mammalia; Primates; Hominidae. The record is from RNAcentral.
AAGGAUACAUUCCACUACCACACUAUUAUAAAUGUUAUGUUUGGGUGUGUGUAUGUAUAUAAAAGAGAGAGCAGAUAAUCGAGAUUUAAAUAAGGUGGUAAAAAAAACCAGGAAAUGAAGAUUUUACCAAAACAACUACAAUAACCAUCCCAAGCUACAACUAUUAACAGAUUCACUAAUAUGGUCAUUUGCCUAGUUAAAAUGAUUGGUGAACAUUUAACUGGGCAAAAGGAAUGGCAUCCAUCAUCCAAACAGGCUCACUUCCCCCAGCCCCCAAAAUGAACAGUAGUUUUAAUAGCAAAAGAAAUAAAAAGUUUUUUUCUUUUGAUUCUUUAGAGCCAACUGUGAAAGAGGUCAGCAAUACAUUAACAGCAGCAAUGGACAAGGAAGAGCAAAAUAGAGGAUUAAAGUAUCUUGCUGGACGUUUGUUCAUCUUUUUCUGUAUUAGCCUGAAAACUGCAACUGGCUUAUGGAAAUUUCCGGUGCAUGUGUCUCCUUAGAUCCUUCACAGAUUUAGAAUUCAGUCUGCCUGAGGGCUCUAUAACCAUGUAAGAAAGCUUUCUUUAUCUAGCUUGGUGGCAGCCAAAACAGACUCCAUGUCAUUAAGGAUGUCAGAACUCAAAGCUUC